UACGUAGGUGGCAAGCGUUGUCCGGAUUUAUUGGGCGUAAAGGGUGCGUAGGUGGUCUUUCAAGUCGGUGGUUAAAGGCUACGGCUCAACCGUAUUAAGCCGUCGAAACUGGAAGACUUGAGUGCAGGAGAGGAAAGUGGAAUUCUCAGUGUAGCGGUGAAAUGCGUAGAUAUUGAGAAGAACACCAGUAGCGAAGGCGGCUUUCUGGACUGAAACUGACACUGAGGCACGAAAGCGAGGGUAGCAAACAGG
This 252-nucleotide ribosomal RNA is filed under the name uncultured bacterium. RNAcentral describes it as "partial 16S ribosomal RNA". It matches the Rfam family "Bacterial small subunit ribosomal RNA", at positions 524 to 776 of the family's 1533-position model. The record is from RNAcentral.